UUUAGUCCAAUCUGAAAUACAGAGAGGACAAUUGUCCUUUGAGUUUAAUAGAGCUGUCUCUCUUUGAUAUUCACAGGGCUGGAGCAGCUCUAUGCAUUUGUUCUUGUUUUUGUCUUGACUUAAGGCUGUUUGAGAGAUGCUCAUGUCAGAGAGAGAAGAGCCAUGGCUGAUGUCUGUUGGACUUGAUGGUUUUAGAGUUCUUUUCCAACCCAAAUGAUCCCAUGAUUCAACUGUAUUUAUUGCCAGCGUUAGACAAGGGGUAACAGAAUUAGGAUUUAAAAAGUAAUCAUAAGAUACCUGGGGAAGCAGCAAAGCUAUGGACAUGGGGGAACUCAUCUUCACACCCACCUAUAAAUUCCUGCUCAUGUUCUCAGGUCGUGUACCUGCUGGGAAGUGGGAAAGUGAAGGUGCCUCUAGCAAUGGUAGGACAGAGCAGUGAGGUUUGGGACUUCUCCCCUCUGCAGGGCUUAGCAGCACGAUCACAGGGAACCUGUGAGACUGGCUUGCAAAUGCCCCAGCUGUCCUCCAUCUCUCACACCUGCACACAUUUAUCCCAUAAUUCUUCACUUCGUUUGCUGCUGCUGCUGCCGGUGGUGGGAGAGAAAUUCCGACCAGCAUCUCUGGGGUCGUCCUUUAUCGUCAGAGGAAAACGGUUCGACAAAGAUAAGCAGGAAAAUAACUUCUCGGGGGAAUGGCUGAUGUCCUUCCAGGAGAAAGGCACUGCAGAAAAAAUCAAGCUUUCCUUACCGAUGGGACCCAUCUAAGUGUAUUGCACAAAUGAAGAUUGUUUUCCUGAAAGAGAGGUGCCUUUCCUCCAAGCAUCACACCAAGCCUGCUGACAUCCACUGUCAGAGUUGUGUGAGCAGCUGAGGCUUUUCCCACGGAGCACUGCCACUGCAAGCCAGCAGUGGGGCUGAUGGGACAAGAAACAUCAUGCAGUCAGUCAUGGUCUGCUUUUGGGAGGAGGAAGUAAUGAAAUCUGUAGUCUCCAGGAGUGUCUGCCACUAGCUGUUCUGUUCUGUUUUGCCAUGUGAAUCUGAACACCUGGCUGUUGGGCUUUCUGCUUUUGUAGCCCAUGUAAUCCAGGGGCAGAACAGCAUCCAGGCAAGCUGCAAAAGCAGUUGUGCAGCAGACUGGUGAGGUGCUGUGCCUGGGGCAGAGCCAGAGUCUUACCAAAGGGGAGUGCAAAAAGUUGCCUCUCUUUUCAGGAGACAGGUAGCAGUCAUGGAAAUGGAAUUUAAGUGCAAGUGGGCUUCAGCCUUGGAACUGUGGUGUGUGAGAGUUUAUAAGUAAGUAACCAAAAACUUUCAGGGCUGUACUGCUCUCUAACUGGGCUUUCAAGGUGGAUCCUGGCAACCCUGAGCCUGAUCAUAGAGACCGUUCCCUUCUGUGGUGAAUUUUAAUGGCUAGAGCUGGAAAGUCCCCACUGACUUCAGGUGUAAGUAGGUACCUGAGUGCCUUUGUGGUUCAGGAUUUUGGGUGCUGGCAAUGGAGCUCACUCCACAGGGAACACACAUGGGCUGCAGCUGCUGACUGCUGUCCUGCUGGCAGCCAUGGGAACUAUCCAUACCCUGCUACUUGGCCUGUCACUGAUAACAUUUCAUCUCUAUUGGGAAACUGGUUGAAAAUGGAGUGGGUGAUGAGUGCUCUGUUAGCUCAGAGCACAGGCUAUCA
RNAcentral lists this long non-coding RNA (1674 nucleotides) under Phasianus colchicus (ring-necked pheasant). Its description in RNAcentral is "lncRNA (ENSPCLG00000012307.1)". Lineage: Eukaryota; Metazoa; Chordata; Aves; Galliformes; Phasianidae. The record is from RNAcentral.